CAAGACAUAGCUUAAAUUCAAAAGCAUUCAACUUACACUUGAAAAAUGCCUAAUAGACUAAAUAGGCUGUCCUGA
RNAcentral lists this transfer RNA (75 nucleotides) under Chelodina parkeri (Parker's snake-necked turtle). Its description in RNAcentral is "tRNA-Val". Lineage: Eukaryota; Metazoa; Chordata; Testudines; Chelidae. The record is from RNAcentral.